AGGGAUCAUUACAGAGUUGCAAAACUCCCUAAACCAUUGUGAACGUUACCUAAACCGUUGCUUCGGCGGGCGGCCCCGGGGUUCUCCCCGGGCGCCCCUGGGCCCCAUCGCGGGCGCCCGCCGGAGGUCACCAAACUCUUGAUAAUUUAUGGCCUCUCUGAGUCUUCUGUACUGAAUAAGUCAAAACUUUCAACAACGGAUCUCUUGGUUCUGGCAUCGAUGAAGAACGCAGCGAAAUGCGAUAAGUAAUGUGAAUUGCAGAAUUCAGUGAAUCAUCGAAUCUUUGAACGCACAUUGCGCCCGCCAGUAUUCUGGCGGGCAUGCCUGUUCGAGCGUCAUUUCAACCAUCAAGCCCCCGGCUUGUGUUGGGGACCUGCGGCUGCCGCAGGCCCUGAAAAGCAGUGGCGGGCUCGCUGUCACACCGAGCGUAGUAGCAUACAUCUCGCUCUGGGCGUGCUGCGGGUUCCGGCCGUAAAACCACCUUCAUAACCCAAGGUUGACCUCGGAUCAGGUAGGAAGACCCGCUGAACUUAA
Molecule: ribosomal RNA, 534 nt
Filed under: fungal sp.
Lineage: Eukaryota; Fungi
Description: eukaryotic LSU rRNA
Rfam family: 5.8S ribosomal RNA (bases 185-338)
Source: RNAcentral